GUGUGCGUGGGGGGUGGGGGAAUGAAACUCUGUCCAUUCUUAGGUUUGUAACAGCCUCAAAAUUACGGAAUCUAUUUAAGGUAAACCUGAUGCUGCCCAUUGUCCAAUGCCUAACACAAAUCAAGCUUAUGGAAAAAGAAUAUUAAAAUUUCCACGUUUUCCCUCGGGUCUGGAACCCCAGGAUUCAAGGGAGAAUUAAACAUUUUCCUCUCCCAUUCCCUUUCUCUUCCGAAGUCCGUAAAUGACAACGUGUUUACACAAGUUUUUAUGUCGUCUGAGCUUCGCCCCGGCCCCGCUUCCUCCUCUGUGUAUGUUCCGCGCAGAGAGAUGUCUGCUUCAGGACGCGUUCAACCUAAACAGAACCCCGUCUGAUUGGAAAAUGUAUUUAUUUGAAAAAUCGUAACUCACAGCUUUGGUGAAAACGGCCCCCAAAUUUAUGGGAUGGCUUGGGGCGCGGCGGUCGUAAAUUAAAAAGCACUGGACAACCCCCUCCCCCAAUCCCCGCAGCGGCACCAGUCAGGUUCUCAGGAGCACCCAGAGACUAGCCCCCUCCCGGCUCCACCCCGCCGCACUCUUCAGCCUCUGCUCCAAUCUCUUGCUGUGGGUAAGUGGCUGUGUUAACAGGCAGGUGGAUUUCAUUCUGGUUCCUUUCACCCAGUCAAGUUAAUUUCAGGGUAGCCUCACUGAGAACGGUUUCAGGUGGUCGGUUAACAGUGAACAGUGUUCUGUUGUGCACCCAUCUGUUUUAGGCAUCUCGGGUUUUCUCUUUAAGUACACGCUGGUAAAUUUCGUGGUAGUGGGCUGCUUGUCCCUAGUCCCCAACCGAGUGAUCAGUGGUGUGCCAGGCUGUCUCAUGCCAAGAGGUUUAUCUCUGGUCAGUGUCAUGAAGGUCAGUUUCAUCGGCGACUGCUGCUGCCCAGGUCUGGGAAAUUUUUUCCUUUCAGUCCAAUCUGAAUUCCCCUGGAGGAUGGAGUCAACACAUUCCGCCUAGUUGCGCGAUCCUUCAGCCAGCCUGCGCCAGCUGAGGACUAGGAUUAGAGGUUGGAACUGCGAGCACGUCCUGGGGAACAGGAGCCGCGGCCGCCAGAGGUGGGGAGCCGCGUAGUCCAGGCGGAGCUGGACUCAUGGGGCCUUCACUCGCAAUCGUCUGCUUCCCCCUGCAAACGCCGGACUGAGCCAUAUCGCUCCGUCUUUUUUUUUUUUCACUAACGAUCAAGCGCCACUUUGGCAGCGUACCCACGGGGAGCAAGGCAAGCUCUCCGCUCCCGGCUUGUCUGUCUAAGCGCUGCUGUCUCGGGCAAACGAGUUUAGCUACUCAAAAUUUGUGCCUUUUGCGCUCGUUUCAAAGGAGCGCUCUGGAGCGCAGGAAGAGCCGCAAAGUAGUGCGGGAAUCCCAGAAUCCGAGGUGGUGCCGUAACUCAUCCCAACCGGUUCUGCCGCGGCCACCUGCCUCGCAGCAAGCCAGUCCGCUGGCACUGAUGUAUACGCAGAAACGUUGGUUGGAAGAAAUGCAAUACCUUUAUUAGGCAGAGAAAGCCCAGCUGGAUUAACCUAGUCUGUUUUGGGAGAUUAAGAACUGGUGUGAGGUAGCAUGGGUCCGAAGUGGUGAGGGGACAGAGGGCUCCUCUUCCACCAGGUUCCCUUAACACGGGGUCUGGGGUGGGAGAAGGGGGACAGCCCUCCUUCCUCAGGCCUGCUUCCUUCCAAUCUAAAAUGGCCUUGCUCUAACGGGUGUUGGGAUCUGCACAUUCUCCUCCGCCCCGGACAGCACUAGAGCCAGAGAUGGACUUUCAGAGCUGCUUGGAGUACGAGGCCCAACAAGCCAACAGGCCUAUGUGUGGCCAGAAAGGGCUCUGGUUAUCUGCUGUCCGCCUCUGUUUCGUUUGGUCUGUCAAGUCCAGCAGCAAAGUGGCCCAAACGUGUGAGGUUUGAUAAAAGUGGGAAGGGUUGGAGCAGGGGCCAGAGGACUUACUUGAUGAGUCCUAUCGAGGUAGCUGAGUUUGGGCACUGUGGACUGGGCAGGCGUCUACAGCAGACUCCCUCCGGGGCCUCUCCUGUGCGUCUUUUGGAGACUCGCUCUGCCCUCCCCAUUUAUGAAGCUGCUCACCUGCAGGUCCUUGGCAAGGUGAAUGCAACUCCAUACCACCUGGCGGCUCUCCCUCAUCAGCCCGAGGCAUCCCCCG
This is a long non-coding RNA of Bos taurus (domestic cattle), 2183 nucleotides long. The record is from Ensembl. Lineage: Eukaryota; Metazoa; Chordata; Mammalia; Artiodactyla; Bovidae.